This 465-nucleotide ribosomal RNA is filed under the name uncultured bacterium. RNAcentral's name for it is "partial 16S ribosomal RNA". It matches the Rfam family "Bacterial small subunit ribosomal RNA", at positions 28 to 507 of the family's 1533-position model. The record is from RNAcentral.
GAUGAACGCUGGCGGCGUGCUUAACACAUGCAAGUCGAACGGAAAGGCCCCUGCUUGCAGUGGUACUCGAGUGGCGAACGGGGGAGUAACACGGUGGCGUACUGCUCUGCACUUCGGGAUAAGCCUGGGAAACGGGGACUAAUACCGGAUAGGACGAGGGGUUGGAUGGGGUUGUGGAAAGUUCUUCGGUGGGGGAUGGGCUCGCGGCCUAUCAGCUUGUUGGUGGGGUAGUGGCUUACCAAGGCGUCGACGGGUAGCCGGCCUGAGAGGGUGAACGGCCACAUUGGGACUGAGAUACGGCCCAGACUCCUACGGGAGGCAGCAGUGGGGAAUAUUGCACAAUGGGCGCAAGCCUGAUGCAGCGACGCCGCGUGGGGGAUGACGGCCUUCGGGUUGUAAACUGCUUUCGCUAGGGACGAAGCGCAAGUGACGGUACCUGGUGAAGAAGCACCGGCUAACUACGUG